RNAcentral lists this ribosomal RNA (776 nucleotides) under uncultured Bacteroidota bacterium. Its description in RNAcentral is "bacterial SSU rRNA". It matches the Rfam family "Bacterial small subunit ribosomal RNA", at positions 35 to 807 of the family's 1533-position model. The record is from RNAcentral. Lineage: Bacteria; Pseudomonadati; Bacteroidota.
GCUAGCGGCAGGCCUAACACAUGCAAGUCGAGGGGUAACAGGAAAGUUUGCUUUUGCUGACGACCGGCGCACGGGUGCGUAACGCGUAUGCAACCUACCUCAUACUGGAGGAUAGCCCCUGGAAACGGGGAUUAAUACUCCAUAGUAUCACGAAUUCGCAUGUUUUUGUGAUUAAAGUUUUUCGGUAUGAGAUGGGCAUGCGCCCCAUUAGCUUGUUGGUGAGGUAACGGCUCACCAAGGCAACGAUGGGUAGGGGGCCUGAGAGGGUGGUCCCCCACACUGGUACUGAGACACGGACCAGACUCCUACGGGAGGCAGCAGUGAGGAAUAUUGGUCAAUGGAGGCAACUCUGAACCAGCCAUGCCGCGUGAAGGAUGACGGCCCUAUGGGUUGUAAACUUCUUUUAUAGAGGAAGAAACUUGUCUACGUGUAGACAACUGACGGUACUCUACGAAUAAGGAUCGGCUAACUCCGUGCCAGCAGCCGCGGUAAUACGGAGGAUUCAAGCGUUAUCCGGAUUCAUUGGGUUUAAAGGGUCCGUAGGCGGGUCUUUAAGUCAGUGGUGAAAGCCGACAGCUCAACUGUCGAACUGCCAUUGAUACUGGAGACCUUGAGUACAAAUGAAGUAGGCGGAAUGAGUCAUGUAGCGGUGAAAUGCAUAGAUAUGACUCAGAACACCGAUUGCGAAGGCAGCUUACUAACAUGUAACUGACGCUGAGGGACGAAAGCGUGGGGAGCGAACAGGAUUAGAUACCCUGGUAGUCCACGCCGUAAAC